AACGCACCUUGCGCUCCUCGGCAUUCCGAGGAGCAUGCCUGUUUGAGCGUCGUUGAACUCUCAGAAUCCCACCCGAUCUUUCUGUCAUUGAAGGAUCGGGGAGGGGAGGUAGUUGGCUUGGCCUUGGCCCAGGGCCAGUCAUGCUGCUACUUCCUGUCACGUGGGGUGUGGAUUGUGGAGGAUGCAAUGCCGCCCCAAUUGGGGAUGCUUCGCUUCUCUGAAAUGGAUUGGCGUUAAGCCUGCGGUCACGAACCUGGCGCCGAUAUGAUACAAUCGUCUUACCUGCACCUAAUCCGUGCGAGCCGCGUCUAACAAUUUGACCUCAAAUCAGGCAGGACUACCCGCUGAACUUAA
RNAcentral lists this unclassified non-coding RNA (354 nucleotides) under uncultured Agaricomycetes. RNAcentral describes it as "sequence contains ITS2". The stretch from base 1 to 52 matches the Rfam family "5.8S ribosomal RNA", at positions 103 to 154 of the family's 154-position model. Lineage: Eukaryota; Fungi; Basidiomycota; Agaricomycetes. The record is from RNAcentral.